RNAcentral lists this unclassified non-coding RNA (282 nucleotides) under Hevea brasiliensis (rubber tree). Lineage: Eukaryota; Viridiplantae; Streptophyta; Magnoliopsida; Malpighiales; Euphorbiaceae. The record is from RNAcentral.
AAAUUGAUGUAUUUCCUUGACUAGUAUAAUUAACUAACACCGAAGGUGAGCAAGGUGAGGAUGGACUUAGAUCCACAUAACACUUGCUUAAUUCUGGAAGGGUACAAUGCUCAAUAAUCCCAUCAAAAAUAUAAUCUUUUAACAUUUUCAAGUCACGCAAAGAUACAACUAUUGUUUCUUUCCUUUUGCUCAUUUUUGCACCAAACAGAGAGAUCUACAGAGAGGGAAAAGGACAGAGAAGUUUCGUUUAGAUUGGUGAUAUAAGGAAAUUGAUGAUGGGAU